Molecule: ribosomal RNA, 253 nt
Filed under: uncultured bacterium
Lineage: Bacteria
Description: partial 16S ribosomal RNA
Rfam family: Bacterial small subunit ribosomal RNA
Source: RNAcentral
UACGUAGGGUGCGAGCGUUGUCCGGAAUUAUUGGGCGUAAAGGGCUCGUAGGCGGUUUGUUGCGUCAGGAGUGAAAACUCGGGGCUUAACCCCGAGCCUGCUUCUGAUACGGGCAGACUAGAGGUAUGCAGGGGAGAACGGAAUUCCUGGUGUAGCGGUGAAAUGCGUAGAUAUCUGGAGGAACACCGGUGGCGAAGGCGGCAUUCUGGACCGAUAUUGACGCUGAGGAGCGAAAGCCAGGGGAGCAAACGGG